This 253-nucleotide ribosomal RNA is filed under the name uncultured prokaryote. RNAcentral's name for it is "partial 16S ribosomal RNA". It matches the Rfam family "Bacterial small subunit ribosomal RNA", at positions 524 to 776 of the family's 1533-position model. The record is from RNAcentral.
UACGGAGGGUGCAAGCGUUAAUCGGAAUUACUGGGCGUAAAGCGCACGUAGGUGGUUUUCUAAGUCAGCUGUGAAAUCCCCGGGCUCAACCUGGGACUUGCAGUUGAAACUGGAAAGCUAGAGUAGGGUAGAGGGGUGUGGAAUUCCAGGUGUAGCGGUGAAAUGCGUAGAUAUCAUUUGGAACGCCAAUGGUGAAAACAGGUAGCUGGGGAUGUGCUGACGCUGAGACACGAAAGCCAGGGGAGCGAACGGG